RNAcentral lists this ribosomal RNA (775 nucleotides) under uncultured Neocallimastigales. RNAcentral's name for it is "partial large subunit ribosomal RNA". It matches the Rfam family "Eukaryotic large subunit ribosomal RNA", at positions 23 to 645 of the family's 3401-position model. The record is from RNAcentral. Lineage: Eukaryota; Fungi; Neocallimastigomycota; Neocallimastigomycetes; Neocallimastigales.
AGAGAGAGACAUGCGCGCAUAUCAAUAAGCGGAGGAAAAGAAACUAACAAGGAUUCCCUUAGUAACGGCGAGUGAAGCGGGAAGAGCUCAAAUUUGAAAUCUUCAAGGUUUUACCUUGACGAAUUGUAGUUUAAAGAAGUGUCUUCUGCUGAAGUUUUGGUAAAAGUUCUUUGGAAUAGGACAUCAUAGAGGGUGAGAAUCCCGUAUUUGACCAUUAUUUUCAGCUUUGUGAUACACUUUCAAAGAGUCGGAUUGUUUGGGAAUGCAGUCCAAAAUGGGUGGUAAAUUUCAUCUAAAGCUAAAUAUUGGCGAGAGACCGAUAGCGAACAAGUACCGUGAGGGAAAGAUGAAAAGAACUUUGAAAAGAGAGUUAAACAGUACGUGAAAUUGUCAAAAGGGAAGCGUUUGACACCAGUGUUGUUUUCUCGAAAAUCAAUUAAAAAUGGCUCGAUUUUGUAUUGCUUGAGACCUUAAAAGCUCACUGUACAUUUUUCGUGUCUUAUUUAAUGCACUUUUCGUUUAACAAGUCAACAUCAGUUUCUUUUGUUGUAAAAGGGUCAUUGGAAGGUGGCUUUCUUUUCGGAGAAAGUGUUUAUAGCCUUUGGCCUCUGCAAUCGAAGAGACUGAGGUCUGCAGCGUAGACUCUUCGGGGUUAGAUACAUUUGUGCUAAGUUAUAGCUUUUUAUAGACAACUUGUUGACUAUAAUUAGUCUUGUAGCUUACUCGCUUAUGCUAUUUUACCUACGCUUAGGAUGUUGAAGUCAUCGUAUCGCGC